AAACGUCUCACGCACCCGCAACCGGGCUGUCCCGGCUCUGCUCCCAGCCUAGCUGUGCAGCCGAGGGGGGGGGGGGGGGUCCCUUCUCUGAGCCUCAGUUUCUCCAUCGGUGAAAUGGGGGUAGUUAGUCCUCCCUCGGGGUUGUGAGAGUGGAGAGCGAGCAGAGUGAAGCUGUCGCUAACAUCAUCCACAACGGCAGAGCGCCAUCCCAACAACAGGGUCUGGAGCCUGACAUCCUGGGUUCGAAACCCCUCCUCUGCCACUCAUCCACCUGCGUGAUGGGUUCAUCUGUCUGCGCCUCUGUUUCCCCUUCUGUAAAAGAUGGUACCCUGGUCUCAGAGCCGCUGAGGGGAGUAAAUGAGCCUGUGGGAAGCUGGGUCGGGCCUAUCGUCAACCGUAAGAGGUGAGCCUCUUCCCUCUGUCAAGAUUGAAAUUCUAGAGAAAAUCAGAGAUGGAAGCAUGGUGUCUGUACCAGCCCUGGUGAGUCUGGGGAGGCCCCGAAUCUCCGUCCCAGACCCUGGCCACCUCUUAACUUCCCUCUUUCCCUUUCAGCCUCUCCUUUACCUACAUCCCUCUGCUCCCAGAUCCCCAGUUUACCUCCCUGUGAGAUGGGCUCAAACAGGCCCAUUAUUCUCUUCUCCAUUCUCCCGCAAAACUGCUCCUAAGCCCGACGCUUUCUCCCCAGAUUCUGGUCCAACCCCAGCAGAAUCUGUCCCUAUAACCAGCAAGGCACUGCCUCCCUGGUCUCCGUGCUUCUGCUCUCAGCCCCCAUAGAACCUUCCCUCCAUGUAGCCAGGGUCAGACUCGUCCUGCCUUUCUCCAGAACCCUCUAUGGCUCCCACCUUCCAUGGGGUAAGAGCCAAAGGCCUUCUCAUAGCCCCAGGACCCUGCUGGCCUUGCGGUUCCCACUUCCUUCCAACUGUUGGCAGGGAGGCUGGGGAGAACCCCGGGUCCUGCGGCCUCCAUCCAGCUGCACCCCGGGAUGCUGCCAGAGGCUCUUGGUCUCCUUUGCGCGAAAGAAUUCGAGGACAGACCAGGCAUAACGGCUGAGUGGUUCAAGAAGGAACGUGUAAUUCAAGCGAGAGUACACUCUUGAGAGUGACCCUUGUUAAAGAACAAAAAUUGGACCGAGUAGAAGAUCUAACUGCCUUUAUCAAGCCAGACACAGGGCGCCUGGGUGGUUCAGUCGAUUAAGCGUCCGACUUCGGCUCAGGUUACGAUCUCAUGGCUCAUGGGUUCGAGCCCCGCAGCGGGCUCUGUGCUGACCGCUCAGAGCCUGGAGCCUGCUUCGGAUUCUGUGUCUUUCUCUCUCUGCUCCUCCCCCGCUCACACUGUCCCUCUGUCUCUCAAAAAAUAGAUAAAUGUUUAAAAAAAAAUUUUUUUUUUAAUCAGGCCGGGCACAAAUGGGACAGCAUCGCACCUAGUGGCUGGAGGGGAGCUCGGAGGAGUUGUCAAAAAAUGGAAGGUUUUUACCAGAAGGAGGGUGGGGCUAGAAAGUUAUUAGCAAAAGAAAAGAAAGGGUUAUUCCAGGCCAAGUCACCUUAAGUGAGAAGGACCAAGGAGUCUUAUUAGGUGGGUUCCCUCAUCUUCCUUUGGGGGGCACGGACAGGGCCCACAACUGAUCCCUCAUUGGUGCAGAUUGAAAAUUCCUGGCUGGGGCGCCUGGGUGGCUCAGUAAGUUGGGCGUCCAACUUCGGCUCGGCUCAUGAUCUCACCUUUCAUGGGUUUGCUCUGUGCUGACAGCUCAGAGCCUGGGGCCUGCUUCGGAUUCUGGGUCUCCCUCUCUCUCUGACCCUCCCUCGCACGCGCUCUCUCUCCCAAAAAUGAAUAAUUUUAAAAAAUUAAAAAACAAGAAAGAAAGAAAAUUCCUGGCUGACUGGUUAAGACUUACAUUCUCAGGGAGGUUGAAUUUGCAAUUAGGUUAGGUAUUAAGCCCCUUUUUGGCCUAAGGGACACUAUCUUGGGCCUGUGGCUUUGCUUUCACACCCUUUAAGGUCACAUUCUCAGGUUGUGGGUAGACAUCUCUUUUUUGUGAGGGGGUGGGGCACAACCCAGCAUUGUCCAAGAAGAUCAUUAUCGGCUUUACUUUAUGGGCAACUGAGGCACAGAGAGAUCAGGUUGCUGCUCUGAGGGGCUAGGACUUCAACCCUGGCUGUCGUGAGCCUGAAUCUAUUCGCUUCACCGCUCUGGAAUCCUCUCCAAUCUGCUGUGGGCCAAGCCCUUGCCGGAAGCUGGGGACAUCGAGGCGAGCAAGGAUUGGAGGCAACAGGUGGACUGGGUCCCCUGUCUCACCUCCCCCGUCUCCUGCAUCUACCUCUGGGCCUCCAGUCUGAGUGGGAUGAGCCACGCUGUCGAACCUCCAGGGAAUGGUUGACGGGCUGGACUUUGAAAGGGGCCAAAGUUAUACACGCUGAGCCCAACCUGGGCCUGGCUGCCUUGCCCCACCGGUUAACUCCCUCCCCUCAUCCUGGGAGCCACAUUGCUGGGUCCCCAAAGCCUCCCACCCCGCCCCAGGGCCAUGAGCUCCUCCACUGGUCACCCUGAAUCCAACCUCCUGGUGACCCCAGGGGCUCCGGGGUCUCAAGGCACCAGCCUGGGCUCCUCAGCACCCCCAAGAUUGUUCUAGAAGAGAAGCAGGACCACGAGUGGACCUUGUCAAGGGGCGGCUGCGCACUGGGCAUGGCUGAGGCGGUGCUGCUGAACGCCACCUCACUGGGUUGGCCCGCACCCUGCAAGGAAGCCUGCCGUGUAGACGAACAACUCAGGCACUUGGACAACGGUGGGAAUCGCGGUCCACCCGUUGUGUUGAUUUACGUCAGCAUAAAGCAAACACGUACAGCAGACAGGGCAAAGGAUACCAAAUCCAAUCUAGGAUUUAUUUUUAUUUUAUUUUAUUUUUGUUUAUCCUGAGAGAGAGAUGGAGCGCGUGUGAGCGGGGGAGGGGCAGAGACAGCGAGAGGGAGAGAGAGAAUCCCAAGGAGGUUAUUACGCCAUUGCACAGAUGGGGAAACGGAGGCAGCGUCUGGGUGUGGGGCUUUGACAGCUGUGACAUCUCCCAGCCUAGACUGACUGCUUUUAUCUUCUUUUCGGUGUCUAUGUAACAGUAUGUUCGUGUGUAUUUCACCAAGGCUUUGCAGAUAGCACCUUAGGGUCGACAUGAUUUAAAAUACAGAUGCGUUUUAUUCCGAAGGGAGGAAGGGAACAUUACCAGGCACGUCUGGACAGCUAGAGUCUAUAGCGAGAUAGCAUUUGACGUCCUUCCGUAGGUACAGCAAAUAACUCAAGUUCCCCAAACAGAAGACUUUGUAUAAAAGCAUGUGAAUUUUGUUAUGAUGUUGCCUUUCCGCAACUGGUCUUAAAAUAAAAUAUCAUAUAGCUGUGUUAAAGGUCAGCUUUGUUAGGGCAUAACUCCCAUACAAUAGAAUUCAGUACGUGGCUCACGUACUGAGCCUGGGUGGCUCAGUUGGUGAAGCGUCCGACUCUUGAUUUCAGCUCAGGUCAUGAUCUCGUGGUUCGUGGGAUCGAGCCCAGAGUUGGGCUCUGUGCUGAUGGCGAAGAGCCUGCUUGGGAUUCUCUCUCCGUCUCUCUGCCCCUCCCCUUCCUGAGCGCUCUCUCUCUCUCUCUCUCUC
This is a long non-coding RNA of Neofelis nebulosa (Clouded leopard), 3629 nucleotides long. RefSeq lists it as uncharacterized. The record is from RefSeq and is a predicted model, not a curated record. Lineage: Eukaryota; Metazoa; Chordata; Mammalia; Carnivora; Felidae. The transcript has 4 exons.